RNAcentral lists this ribosomal RNA (221 nucleotides) under uncultured bacterium. RNAcentral describes it as "partial 16S ribosomal RNA". It matches the Rfam family "Bacterial small subunit ribosomal RNA", at positions 129 to 334 of the family's 1533-position model. The record is from RNAcentral.
CCCUUUGGCGGGGGACAACAGCUCGAAAGGGUUGCUAAUACCGCAUACGUCUCUAGAGGCUUUGGCUUCUAGAGGGAAAGAUGGCCUCUUCAUGAAAGCUAUCACCAAAGGAUGAGUCCGCGUAGCAUCAGCUUGUUGGUGGGGUAAUGGCCUACCAAGGCAAAGACGCUUAGCUGGUCUGAGAGGAUGAUCAGCCACACUGGGACUGAGACACGGCCCAG